This 1153-nucleotide ribosomal RNA is filed under the name uncultured Bacteroidota bacterium. RNAcentral's name for it is "bacterial SSU rRNA". It matches the Rfam family "Bacterial small subunit ribosomal RNA", at positions 338 to 1501 of the family's 1533-position model. Lineage: Bacteria; Pseudomonadati; Bacteroidota. The record is from RNAcentral.
CCUACGGGAGGCAGCAGUGAGGAAUAUUGGUCAAUGGACGAAAGUCUGAACCAGCCAUGCCGCGUGCAGGAUGACGGCUCUAUGAGUUGUAAACUGCUUUUAUAUAGGAAGAAACCCUUCUACGUGUAGAAGGUUGACGGUACUAUAAGAAUAAGCAUCGGCUAACUCCGUGCCAGCAGCCGCGGUAAUACGGAGGAUGCAAGCGUUAUCCGGAUUCAUUGGGUUUAAAGGGUGCGUAGGCGGGGCAAUUAGUCAGUGGUGAAAUCCUGCGGCUUAACCGUAGAACUGCCAUUGAUACUGUUGCUCUUGAGUAUAGUUGAAGUGGGCGGAAUAUGUAAUGUAGCGGUGAAAUGCAUAGAGAUUACAUAGAACACCAAUUGCGAAGGCAGCUCACUAAGCUAUCACUGACGCUGAGGCACGAAAGCGUGGGGAGCGAACAGGAUUAGAUACCCUGGUAGUCCACGCCGUAAACGAUGAUAACUCGUUGUUGGCAAUACAUCGUCAGCGACUGAGCGAAAGCAUUAAGUUAUCCACCUGGGGAGUACGAUCGCAAGAUUGAAACUCAAAGGAAUUGACGGGGGCCCGCACAAGCGGAGGAACAUGUGGUUUAAUUCGAUGAUACGCGAGGAACCUUACCUGGGCUUAAAUGCAAAACGACGUACCGGGAAACUGGUACUCCCUUCGGGGCGAAUUGCAAGGUGCUGCAUGGCUGUCGUCAGCUCGUGCCGUGAGGUGUCGGGUUAAGUCCCAUAACGAGCGCAACCCCUAUCGUUAGUUGCCAGCGGAUAAUGCCGGGGACUCUAACGAAACUGCCAGUGUAAACUGUGAGGAAGGUGGGGAUGACGUCAAGUCAGCACGGCCCUUAUGUCCAGGGCUACACACGUGUUACAAUGGUCGGUACAGAGGGCAGCUACCUGGUGACAGGAUGCAAAUCUCGAAAACCGGUCUCAGUUCGGAUCGAAGUCUGCAACUCGACUUCGUGAAGGUGGAUUCGCUAGUAAUCGCGCAUCAGCCAUGGCGCGGUGAAUACGUUCCCGGGCCUUGUACACACCGCCCGUCAAGCCAUGGAAGCUGGGGGUACCUGAAGUCUGUAACCGUAAGGAGCGGCCUAAGGUAAAACUAGUGACUGGGGCUAAGUCGUAACAAGGUAACC